GGUUAAGCGACUAAGCGUACACGGUGGAUGCCCUGGCAGUCAGAGGCGAUGAAGGACGUGCUAAUCUGCGAUAAGCGUCGGUGAGGUGAUAUGAACCGUUAUAACCGGCGAUUUCCGAAUGGGGAAACCCAGUGUGUUUCGACACACUAUCAUUAACUGAAUCCAUAGGUUAAUGAGGCGAACCGGGGGAACUGAAACAUCUAAGUACCCCGAGGAAAAGAAAUCAACCGAGAUUCCCCCAGUAGCGGCGAGCGAACGGGGAGGAGCCCAGAGCCUGAAUCAGUGUGUGUGUUAGUGGAAGCGUCUGGAAAGGCGCGCGAUACAGGGUGACAGCCCCGUACACAAAAAUGCACAUAUUGUGAGCUCGAUGAGUAGGGCGGGACACGUGGUAUCCUGUCUGAAUAUGGGGGGACCAUCCUCCAAGGCUAAAUACUCCUGACUGACCGAUAGUGAACCAGUACCGUGAGGGAAAGGCGAAAAGAACCCCGGCGAGGGGAGUGAAAAAGAACCUGAAACCGUGUACGUACAAGCAGUGGGAGCCUCUUAAUGGGGUGACUGCGUACCUUUUGUAUAAUGGGUCAGCGACUUAUAUUCUGUAGCAAGGUUAACCGAAUAGGGGAGCCGAAGGGAAACCGAGUCUUAACUGGGCGUUAAGUUGCAGGGUAUAGACCCGAAACCCGGUGAUCUAGCCAUGGGCAGGUUGAAGGUUGGGUAACACUAACUGGAGGACCGAACCGACUAAUGUUGAAAAAUUAGCGGAUGACUUGUGGCUGGGGGUGAAAGGCCAAUCAAACCGGGAGAUAGCUGGUUCUCCCCGAAAGCUAUUUAGGUAGCGCCUCGUGAAUUCAUCUCCGGGGGUAGAGCACUGUUUCGGCAAGGGGGUCAUCCCGACUUACCAACCCGAUGCAAACUGCGAAUACCGGAGAAUGUUAUCACGGGAGACACACGGCGGGUGCUAACGUCCGUCGUGAAGAGGGAAACAACCCAGACCGCCAGCUAAGGUCCCAAAGUCAUGGUUAAGUGGGAAACGAUGUGGGAAGGCCCAGACAGCCAGGAUGUUGGCUUAGAAGCAGCCAUCAUUUAAAGAAAGCGUAAUAGCUCACUGGUCGAGUCGGCCUGCGCGGAAGAUGUAACGGGGCUAAACCAUGCACCGAAGCUGCGGCAGCGACGCUUAUGCGUUGUUGGGUA
Molecule: ribosomal RNA, 1188 nt
Filed under: Escherichia coli
Lineage: Bacteria; Pseudomonadati; Pseudomonadota; Gammaproteobacteria; Enterobacterales; Enterobacteriaceae
Description: partial 23S ribosomal RNA
Rfam family: Bacterial large subunit ribosomal RNA
Source: RNAcentral